Molecule: ribosomal RNA, 468 nt
Filed under: uncultured bacterium
Lineage: Bacteria
Description: partial 16S ribosomal RNA
Rfam family: Bacterial small subunit ribosomal RNA
Source: RNAcentral
GACGAACGCUGGCGGCGUGCUUAACACAUGCAAGUCGAACGGAAAGGCCCUGCUUUUGUGGGGUUCUCGAGUGGCGAACGGGUGCGUAACACGUGAGUAUCCUGCCCUUGACUUUGGUAUAACUUCAGGUAACUGGGGCUACUCCCGUAUAGGAGCUCCUGCUGCAUGGUGGGGAUUGGAUCGUUUCGGCGGUUGGGGAUGGACUCGCGGCUUAUCAGCUUGUUGGUGGGGGAGUGGCUUACCAAGGCUUUGACGGGUACCCGGCCUGAGAGGGUGACCGGCGACAAGGGGACUGAGAUACGGACCAGACUCCUACGGGAGGCAGCAGUGGGGAAUAUUGCACAAUGGGCGGAAGUCUGAUGCAGAAACGCCGCGGGCGGGAUGACGGUUUGCGGGGUGUAAAACGCUUUCGCCUGUGACGAAGCGGGAGUGACGGUAAUGGGUAAAGAAGCACCGGCUAACUACGUG